GUGAAUCAUCAAAUUUUUGAACGCAAAUUGCACUCUCCUCGGAGAGUAUGCCUGUUUGAGGGUCAGUUAAAUAAAAAUCGGGGUUUUUGCCACCUUUGGUGGUGACGCUUCGGAAUUGGGUCGUCUUUACCUUUCGGUUAAGUGACUUAAAAUUUUUGUAUGAUAUCUAACGUAUUUAAAUUUAUUUGGUACGUUUUUUAAUAUCGAAUGUUUAUUAGGUGUGGGUUAUUUUCAUGACUCACGUCCUAUAAUUUUCCAUCUAAUGACCUCAAAUCAGGUAAGAAUACCCGCUGAACUUAAG
RNAcentral lists this unclassified non-coding RNA (301 nucleotides) under Glomus sp. Its description in RNAcentral is "partial contains 5.8S ribosomal RNA, internal transcribed spacer 2, and large subunit ribosomal RNA". The stretch from base 1 to 65 matches the Rfam family "5.8S ribosomal RNA", at positions 84 to 154 of the family's 154-position model. Lineage: Eukaryota; Fungi; Glomeromycota; Glomeromycetes; Glomerales; Glomeraceae. The record is from RNAcentral.